CAACCUCUGGCGAAAUACGUGAAUGUUG
This 28-nucleotide non-coding RNA is filed under the name unclassified sequences. The record is from Rfam.